GACAGAGGUGCCAAGCGUUAGGCGGAAUCACUGGGCUUAAAGCGUGUGUAGGCGGGUCGUUAAGUGUCUUGUGAAAUCCCCCGGCUCAACCGGGGAGUGGCUGGGCAUACUGGCGAUCUUGAGCAGUCUAGGGGCAGAUGGAACAGACGGUGGAGCGGUGAAAUGCGUAGAUAUCGUCUGGAACGCCAAAGGUGAAAACAGUCUGCUGGGGACUUGCUGACGCUGAGACACGAAAGCCAGGGGAGCGAACGGG
Molecule: ribosomal RNA, 253 nt
Filed under: uncultured bacterium
Lineage: Bacteria
Description: partial 16S ribosomal RNA
Rfam family: Bacterial small subunit ribosomal RNA
Source: RNAcentral